Molecule: ribosomal RNA, 413 nt
Filed under: uncultured bacterium
Lineage: Bacteria
Description: bacterial SSU rRNA
Rfam family: Bacterial small subunit ribosomal RNA
Source: RNAcentral
GGGCCCGCACAAGCGGUGGAGCAUGUGGUUUAAUUCGAUGAUACGCGAGGAACCUUACCAGGGCUUAAAUGUAAGUUGCAUUAGUUAGAGAUAGCUAUUUCUUCGGACUACUUACAAGGUGCUGCAUGGUUGUCGUCAGCUCGUGCCGUGAGGUGUCAGGUUAAGUCCUAUAACGAGCGCAACCCCUGUUGUUAGUUGCCAUCGAGUCAUGUCGGGAACUCUAACAAGACUGCCGGUGCAAACCGAGAGGAAGGUGGGGAUGACGUCAAAUCAUCACGGCCCUUACGUCCUGGGCUACACACGUGCUACAAUGGCCGGUACAGAGAGCAGCCACUACGCGAGUAGGAGCGAAUCUAUAAAACCGGUCUCAGUUCGGAUAGGAGUCUGCAACUCGACUCCUUGAAGUUGGAGUC